Molecule: ribosomal RNA, 313 nt
Filed under: uncultured bacterium
Lineage: Bacteria
Description: bacterial SSU rRNA
Rfam family: Bacterial small subunit ribosomal RNA
Source: RNAcentral
AUUGAACGCUGGCGGCGUGCCUAACACAUGCAAGUCGAGCGGUAACAGGUGUAGCAAUACAUGCUGACGAGCGGCGGACGGGUGAGUAACGCUUGGGAAUCUGCCUAUUAGUGGGGGACAACCCGGGGAAACUCGGGCUAAUACCGCAUACGCUCUACGGAGGAAAGCCGGGGACCGCAAGGCCUGGCGCUAAUAGAUGAGCCCAAGUCGGAUUAGCUAGUUGGUAGGGUAAUGGCCUACCAAGGCUACGAUCCGUAACUGGUCUGAGAGGACGACCAGUCACACCGGAACUGAGACACGGUCCGGACUCCUA